Long non-coding RNA from Chrysemys picta bellii (western painted turtle), 788 nucleotides. RefSeq lists it as uncharacterized. The record is from RefSeq and is a predicted model, not a curated record. NCBI's taxonomy places the organism in Eukaryota, Metazoa, Chordata, Testudines, Emydidae.
AUGCCUGCCUCAUUCAGUGCACAAAGUGGCGGAAUUAAGGGUCCACAGUUGCUCUCUACCCAGAAGGUGAAUUCUUUUAGAAAGUUUGAACAAAAUCCCUUCAGAGACAGAGGCUAUUGCUUUCAGGCAGUCGCUGGGACAAUUUGCCUGAGGAAGAUUGUAUAGUGGAGGUGCGGAGCACAGACAGUGAGCUGGAUGGCUGGCAGGGGAAGAAGGGAUGGAAUCUCUACUAUUGGUCAUGCCUACCCUGAAAGACAGCCAAAAAAUAGCACAACCCAGGGGAGAGGCUUAGGAACUGGACCUGAGGCCAGAAAGCUCCAGCCAAACUCAAGUGUUCAACAGGUGUAUUCCUCCAGCAACAUGAUAACCCAUCAUUCUUAAUUGUCAAUGCCAGUGAUGUGCUGUGGGCCCACAGGUUCCUCUUGUUAAAAUGUCCUGCAUUCUUCUUCCCUUAUCUGCUGAGCAGCAAAAAGAGAGAGAAGAUGACAAAGAAACCAGCUGCCCUGGAAGAAGAAUGCUACAGUUUUUCCAAGUGUGCAGCAAGGACUAGUAGAGCUUGAUGCACAUAGUAGAUUGAGCUAGUAUAUCUGCUCCUGACCUCUGUAGGUAAAAUGCCUGUGGCCACUGUCACUAUGCCUCCUCUCCAUGCCCUCGUUUAGUUUAAUUGUGGCCCUAGGAACAUUAAUUCAGACCUUGACUUUGACUUCAUUUAUCCCAGCUGCUGCAUUGGGGGGGGGGAGGAGGAGAAGCAGCAAUUCACUGAAAACACAUGCUGUCUCUGCACUAAC